GGUGAAAUAAACAGCCAUGUUGCUCACACAAAGCCUGUUUGGUGGUCUCUUCACACGGACGCUCAUGAAAUUUGGUGAUGUGACUCGGAUAGGGGGACCUCCCUUGGGAGAUCAGUACCCUGUCCUCCUGCUCUUUGCUCCGUGAGAAAGAUCCACCUACAACCUCAGGUCCUUAGACCAACCAGCCCAAGAAACAUCUCACCAAUUUCAAAUCCAGACCCCACUGGAAAUCGGACUGUCCAACUCACCUGACAGCCACUCCCACAGCCGCUGGAACUCUGGCCCAAGGCUCUCUGACUCCUUCCCAGAUCUUCUUGGCUUAGCGGCUGAAGACUGACGCUGCCCGAUCGCCUCGGAAGCCCCCUAGACCAUCACGGACGCCGAGCUUCGGGUAACUCUCACAGUGGAAGAAGAAAACAGAUUCGGUUUACCUGAGACUCAACUUCAAUCCCUUGGACAGAAGAGUGCUAUGCUAGGUGCCAGAAACACAACUACAGAUUUCUACCUGGUGCAUGGCCAUCGCUCAUGACUGCUAUAAAAAUAGUAAACAAACAAACAAACAAAGUAAGUCUUGGGGAGGAUGCAGAGAAAUUAAAAUUUUUGUGCACUGUUAGUGGGAAUGUAAAAUGGUGCAGCUGUUACGGGAAACGGUAUGACAGUUCCUCAA
Molecule: small RNA, 667 nt
Filed under: Homo sapiens (human)
Lineage: Eukaryota; Metazoa; Chordata; Mammalia; Primates; Hominidae
Description: long intergenic non-protein coding RNA, regulator of reprogramming
Source: RNAcentral